Molecule: ribosomal RNA, 925 nt
Filed under: Tiarosporella sp. CBS 109699
Lineage: Eukaryota; Fungi; Ascomycota; Dothideomycetes; Botryosphaeriales; Botryosphaeriaceae
Description: eukaryotic LSU rRNA
Rfam family: Eukaryotic large subunit ribosomal RNA
Source: RNAcentral
GGUUGACCUCGGAUCAGGUAGGGAUACCCGCUGAACUUAAGCAUAUCAAUAAGCGGAGGAAAAGAAACCAACAGGGAUUGCCUUAGUAACGGCGAGUGAAGCGGCAACAGCUCAAAUUUGAAAGCUGGCUCUUUCAGGGUCCGCAUUGUAAUUUGUAGAGGAUGAUUCGGCGAGGGCUCCCGCCUAAGUCCCCUGGAACGGGGCGUCAUAGAGGGUGAGAAUCCCGUAUGCGGUGGGUUGCCUUAGCCAUGUGAAUCUCCUUCGACGAGUCGAGUUGUUUGGGAAUGCAGCUCUAAAUGGGAGGUAAAUUUCUUCUAAAGCUAAAUACCGGCCAGAGACCGAUAGCGCACAAGUAGAGUGAUCGAAAGAUGAAAAGCACUUUGGAAAGAGAGUUAAAAAGUACGUGAAAUUGUUGAAAGGGAAGCGCUUGCAACCAGACUUGUCCGCAGUUGCUCAGCCGGUCUCCUGACCGGCGUACUCUUCUGCGGCCAGGCCAGCAUCAGUUCGGGCGGUCGGAUAAAGACCUCGGGAAUGUAGCUCCUCUCGGGGAGUGUUAUAGCCCGGGGUGGAAUGCGGCCAGCCUGGACUGAGGAUCUCGCUUCGGCAAGGAUGCUGGCGUAAUGGUUGUAAGCGGCCCGUCUUGAAACACGGACCAAGGAGUCUAACAUCUAUGCGAGUGUUUGGGUGUCAAACCCAUACGCGUAAUGAAAGUGAACGGAGGUGGGAACCCUCACGGGUGCACCAUCGGCCGAUCCUGAUGUCUUCGGAUGGAUUUGAGCAAGAGCAUAGCUGUUGGGACCCGAAAGAUGGUGAACUAUGCCUGAAUAGGGUGAAGCCAGAGGAAACUCUGGUGGAGGCUCGCAGCGGUUCUGACGUGCAAAUCGAUCGUCAAAUUUGGGUAUAGGGGCGAAAGACUAAUCGAACC